RNAcentral lists this ribosomal RNA (327 nucleotides) under uncultured eukaryote. RNAcentral describes it as "partial 18S ribosomal RNA". It matches the Rfam family "Eukaryotic small subunit ribosomal RNA", at positions 1470 to 1796 of the family's 1831-position model. The record is from RNAcentral.
CCCUUAGAUGUUCUGAGCCGCACGCGCGCUACACUGACGAAUGCAACGAGCUUAUAACCUUGGCCGAAAGGUCUGGGUAAUCUCCAAAUUUCGUCGUGAUGGGGAUAGAUUAUUGCAAUUAUUAAUCUUCAACGAGGAAUGCCUAGUAAGCGCAAGUCAUCAGCUUGCGUUGAUUACGUCCCUGCCCUUUGUACACACCGCCCGUCGCUCCUACCGAUUGAAUGGUCCGGUGAAGCGUUCGGACCGUGGCCUUUGGACGGUUCGCCGUCUGUUGGCUGCGGGAAGUUCGUUAAACCUUAUCAUUUAGAGGAAGGAGAAGUCGUANCA